AGAGAGAAGGGGAGGGGUAGGAGGGGUAAAGGUUGGGUUGGGGACCACUUUUAUGAGAAAAAUGAAAGUUUAUGAUGGUUUGAUCCUCCUAAUGAAAACAGCACCCCUAAAGUUUAUGAAUACACUUUUAUGACACCAGUUUGGAUGCACAAGUUCUAAAAAUGACCUAAAAGUGAAGUCCUAAAGUUUACGAUGUGGUAUCCAAACAGGCCCUAAUCACCAGUCCCAAACACGCACAGGCAUCUCGGCACCACCGAAGCCUCGAGCCCGCCCCCCCUCCCCAACCCCCACCCGUGGCCUGCGCCGCGCCGCGGCGACCGGCCAUGUCCAUCGACUACCUCGUGCUAGGUACGCGGCGCCCGCCUCUAACACCGUUCGGGUGGAUGCAGGGGCGGGUCAGGAUGUGGGGAAGAGCUGAGUGGUGGCGACCAUCGGUGGGCGGCGCGUCAUGUUUGACUGCGGCGUGCACUUGUCCUACAAGGGCCGGCGCAGCUACCCGGAAUUCGACCGGGUCCUCGCGGCCUCCGGGGCCACCGACUUCACCACCGCCAUCUCCUGCGUCGUCAUCGCCCACUCGUGAGUGUGGCAUUUUCCUCCUCCCUCCCCUGGCGGUUUUCCGUAGGCUGCUAAGCUUCCCCUUAAUUUGCAGCCAUUUGGAUCAUAUCGGGGCGCUUCCCUACUUCACCGAGUUCUGCGGGUACCAUGGCCCCAUCUACAUGACGGUGAGCGCAGACUACUUUGUAAUCGUUGUUUGGAUUAUAGCUAGAACAAUUGUUUUGAUUUUGAUUCAAGUAAAUUGGGAUUCACCUUAGUUCAGUUUUAUUCCCCCCUUCUUUUGGUCAGCAAACUAGUCAGCUACCAAUUAAUAAUGUUGUGAGCUCACAAAAGUCACUGUUAAGUGCUUGCUGGUAAGUCCUUAUGUUAGAUGUCUUUGUUGCUUAUGAGCUGAAGACCCUGGGACAUCGUGAGUUGGUUUUGGUAGAUUUGAUGAUUUUUGUCAAAUUUCACCAAGGAAAUUAUCUUAAACUGAAGUAUCCUUCACUAUUAGCUCAUAUGCUUGGACUGGUCUCUUCUUUGGUCUCUCCUGUUCUUGUACCAAGGAUUUAUAUCUCUUCAUGAGUGAUCUUCCAUAACUUCUUUCAUGGUGCCUCUCAAACAGUACCCAACAAAGGCUUUAGCUCCAAUGAUACUGGAAGAUUUUCGGAAAGUAAUGGUUGUUCAGCAAUGGGAGGAAGGGCAAUAUAGUUAUGAGGAUAUUCUCAGGUGUAUGAAGAAAGGUAACCUUAAUUAAGGCUGGGAUUUCUAUCAUUGGUGUAGUUAAAAAGUUCUAGCAAGAAGCAGACUGUUCAAGUAUGAUAGUGCUAUUUUCCUUAUAUUUUGACCUUGCAGUUAUACCAUUGGACCUGAAGCAGACUGUUCAAGUAGAUUAGGACCUUGUGAUCCGUGCCUAUUAUGCUGGACAUGUAUGCUUCUUUAUUGUCUCAUGUUCUGUUUAUUGUACUUUAGAUUAUUUGAGUUGAAGUAUUGAUUUAGUUCUCCACUUUCUAAUCUAGUAAAACCGUCAUUCCAAAUUCAAGGUCCUAGGGGCUGUCAUGAUUUAUGCAAAAGUUGGAGAUGCUGCUAGGUCUACACUGGAGAUUACAAUAUGACAUGAGAUAGACAUCUUGGUGCAGCGCAAAUUGAUCGUCUAAAAUUGGAUCUUUUGAUAACAGAGUAUAGUCCAAACUCCAAUUAUUAGCAUAUUUCCUAUUUGAUUGUUGCCUGAUUUUUGAUUAAGUAUUGUGAAUCAUGCUGCAAUUUCUUAUACGUUAGCACUACAUUAGAGUAUGUUUGUUCUUUUUUUAAAAAAAAAUCAUUAUGUGGUUGCCUUGUUGAUAUCAGAUCACAGGAACAGGUUUCCAGAUCGGUACCCAUCUGUGGACCAUUGUCCCUGUUGCUAGCUAAAUUGUUCACCUGAAAAUCAUUUGGAAUAUAGCUGUAAUAACUAUAUUUAUUACUUAUUACGUUGUUGAAUUCAGUUUCUGGUGUUAAAACGAUGAUUUGCAUUUGUUUUAUGGUACAACACGUGUGGUUUCUCAAUGUUUUUAAUCAUGUUAAUGAGAUUAAGAGCACAAUGGUGUGGAUUCUUUUUUUUUUCUAUGUAUACUAUUAAGUAUAUAGUUGUUUUUUUUCUUUCUUCACUUCUGCAGAUCCACAUAUGCUGAAACUACACGUGAUUCAAGGCGUGCUCGAGAGAGUGAAUUCUUACAAGCGGUAUGUAAACGGCAAACCUGACUUUCCAUUAUGCCGAUACACUUGGUUUUGUAGAUUUAGUUGCAUUUAUUAUUUUAACUGUUGUGUAGAUUUUGUAUUUGCAUGCUUAAUUACUUUUCUUCUAGCACAAUACCAUCCAAGAAGUUAAUUUUCACCAAAUUAAGUGCAAUUUGUAAUUUGUCAUAGGAUACAUCUUUGUUUUUAUCUGACACCUUAGACCACAAAAUAUUCAUCUUGACUGUACUAUACAGUUAUUCUGUGAAUCUGCGCAUCAUGCUUUUUUUGGAGGAAGUUGAGAGGGGUGAACCCUACCUAUUUUCAUUAAAACACAUACAUAGAAUUUGUCUACACUACUUUACUUCCAUCCCUUAACUAUGUAUUUUCUAUAGGUCCAUAAAUGUGUUUCUGGAGGCGGUAAAGUUCUAAUUCCAUUAUUUUCUGUGGGAAGAGCUCAGGUACUCUAGUUAUCUCUAUAAUUUGAGGGAUAUAAAGUGAUGAUGAACUAUUAUCACUGUUUCACUUAUUGAUCAAGUCCCUUCUAACAAUACUGUCACCUGGGGCACACUGUUUUGAAUUUUCUUAAAUAGAGUAUCCAUUUAGGAUUGACACAGUCCUAUUAUGUAUCUCAGGAGCUAUGCAUGUUACUCUAUGACUAUUGGGAGAGAAUGAACUGGAAGAUUCCUAUGUAUGUCAACUUUUGUUAAAUUUUAACUUGAUUUUAUGUAUUUUCUGCUUUGAUGACGUCAUGUUUGUCCUGUAGGUUUAACCGUACAAUCUAACGUGUACUACAAGAUGCUUAUUGGAUGGACUAGUCAGAAGAUCAAAGACAGCUACAGAGUGCAUAACCCCUUUGACUUCAAGCAUGGUAUGAACUAUGGUUCAGGUCUUUAAAAGCUAUACUCUGUUCAAUCCUAUGCAGACUAAAGAGGAGAAAGAAAAUUCAAACAGUUAGACCUGUGUGCUUUUACUCAUUUUUGUUUUUUUAAGGAUGGAUAUUUAGUUUACCAUGGUGGCAACCUUAGUUUAAUCAUGAGACAUUCAAUGUUUCAUUUAAUCUUAAAAACUCGACCGGCGAGGGAAUGUUUCAUUUAAUCUUACAUAGUUAUAUCAGAAUAACAUUAUUUUUUUUCCCACAUUGCAGUUUGUCACUUUGAGCGUUCCUUCACUGACAACCCUGGUCCAUGUGUACUUUUUGCAACUCCUGGUAUGAUCAGUACCGGUGGUGGAUUUUCUCAUGAGGUGUUUAAAAAAUGGGCGCUGUCAGAAAAAAAUCUGGUUACACUUGCAGGGUAUAUCCCUUAGCUUUCUUAUUUCUUCCAUAUUUUUCUGAUUUUAUUAGAAACUAUAUCUUUUUCUCAUAAAAUCGUUCUCGUUCAUGCUGAUGAACUGUAUCCAACAUGUUGUGCUAACUAUAUUAUGUUCUGAUGCCACCUUUUUUUUCCUGAUGGAGGUAUUGUGCUCCCAGAAGCAUUGGUCAUAAGUUGAUGUCUGGCAAACCUGAAAAGAUUGAUUUAGAGGACACCCAUAUUGAUGUCAGAUGUCAGGUUGCUCUUCAAUUCAGUUUAUACUUUUUGAAAUAUUGUAAAUUUUUUAAAUAAUAAUGAAGGAGGGGGUAAAAAAGGCCAAUGCACUUUGUCUAAACGAGCGAUUUUCUCAUUCGAUGGUAAUGUUUUGUUAGCCAGGGAAAAACUUACCCAUUCACUAUAUCAUUUCAGAUGUUCAACAUAAUUGCUCUAUAGAGGACAGACAUAGUCAAAGGCUUGGGCUUUUUGCGGAAGUUCAUUGGCAUCUGUUGUUUCUCACAUGCAUGUUACUGUCCCAUUAAUAUCCAUUUAUCUUAUCUGAUUCUCUGAAUUAUUUGAAUUUGGGUAGCCAACUUCUCCAUCUAUUUUCACUUCUCGUAUGCUAUCACUUGACACUGCGUUCUUUUCCUUUGCAUGCCAGGUCCAUCAACUAGCAUUCAGUCCGCACACUGACUCCAUAGGGAUCAUGGACCUUAUAGAGUUCCUUUCACCCAAACAUGUAAUUCUCGUUCAUGGUGAAAAGCCUUUGAUGGCUUUCCUGAAGGAGAGGGUCGAAUCUGAAUUGGGGAUGCCAUGCUAUUACCCAGCUAACAACGAGGCCGUCUCCAUUCUGACAACCCAGAACCACAAAAUUAGUGCCACAGAAAGGUUCAUUACAAGCUGUGCUGGUGAGCAAACUGAAGACAAUCUGCGAAAGCGGAAGCUAAUUUGUGGAAGCAAUAUUUCAGAUGCCAAUGGCGAUCGAAAGCUAGCUGAGGGUAUCCUUCUGAUGGAGAAGAACAAGGCUUCGAAAAUUCUGUGCGAGGACGAGCUUGUUCAGGUGCUGGGCAUGGAGCAGCACAUUGUCCAGUAUGAACCAAUGGUCUCCUCCAGAAUUGCAGCAGCUGGCGAGUUGGAAUUGCAGCAGCUAGCAGGCCGAGGCCAGGGAAUGCAGCCGAUUUAGGGUGGGAAGGAAAAUGAAUGAAAUUGUACAUGCUGAGAUUCUGGCCGUGCUUCCUUUUCUUUUCUGCAAAUGAUUAGACCGUUGUACAGAGCUAUAGAUUCUGUAAGACAAAUGCGUAUAUUACCCUGACAAUUCAAUGGUUAGAUUAAAAGUUUAAAUGUGACCUCUUGUUGCUUGACCCACCUUGUUCAUGCAUGAGGUAUAUUGGUAUAAUAAUGAUGGAUGAGAUAUAAUGAUGGCGCGAGGGGUUGGAGGAAAAUGGGUACUAGUUCUUCGUUUCUUCGUUUUAAACUGCCGUAGGUUUGCAAGGCCAACUCACUGCAGGAAAAACAAAUCAGAAGUGCCGAGCAAAAACGCAGGACACAAGGAGUGGUCACAGGGUGGACAUUGGUUGGGAUGAGGUAAUACCCGUCCAGCAACAUAAAAGUAACAACACUUGCCCGGAGCUCAGUACCUCCCAAACAAUGAGUCAAUGACACAACCCAAAUAUGAUUCGCAAACAACCUGAAGCCCGCACGCUAGAAUUUUAGUGAGGUGACUUAAUCAAUGGUUUACUAAUCAUGUCUUCGAUCUUGAGGCUCUCAGGUGGUGACAACCCAAACAACACAAAUACGAUUGAGUAUUUGGGUGGUUGCCUGGUUGGUCAGAGUGAUUCAAUGCAGGGAGUAGGAAAACAUUUGCAAAAGCUCACUACAUACACUUGCAACAAAGAAACUGUAAUGCAAAUAUACCUCUCAACCUGUAAUAGUAACAUGGGGAUGACGCUACAAACAAAUGCAUUUCAUCCAAAGAUAAACAUGCACAUUACUCCCUCUGAUCACAAUCAGCAAACAAAACAAAAUCAACAAAAUCAUGCUAUUCUACUCAGUACACUGAUCUCUUGCCACACAGCAGACGCGGUAAUGUCACAUCAUAUGAUAUAUCCCGCUGCACAUUGUACUGCUACUGCUGUCUGGUGUACUGCUACCCACCGCCCCAGC
Molecule: long non-coding RNA, 5699 nt
Filed under: Setaria viridis
Lineage: Eukaryota; Viridiplantae; Streptophyta; Magnoliopsida; Poales; Poaceae
Description: long non-coding RNA (SVIR_LNC002106)
Source: RNAcentral